This 1981-nucleotide ribosomal RNA is filed under the name human gut metagenome. RNAcentral's name for it is "bacterial LSU rRNA". It matches the Rfam family "Bacterial large subunit ribosomal RNA", at positions 1 to 2003 of the family's 2925-position model. The record is from RNAcentral.
UUAAGUGACUAAGCGUACACGGUGGAUGCCUAGGCAGUCAGAGGCGAUGAAGGGCGUGUUAAUCUGCGAUAAGCGUCGGUAAGGUGAUAUAAACCGUUACAACCGGCGAUACCCGAAUGGGGAAACCCAGUGCAAUUCGUUGCACUAUCAUACGAUGAAUACAUAGUCGUAUGAGGCGAACCGGGGGAACUGAAACAUCUAAGUACCCCGAGGAAAAGAAAUCAACCGAGAUUCCCCCAGUAGCGGCGAGCGAACGGGGAGGAGCCCAGAACCUGAAUCAGUUCUUGUGUUAGUGGAAGCGUCUGGAAAGUCGCACAGCAAAGGGUGAUAGUCCCGUACACUAAAAUGCAUUAAUUGUGAGUUCGAUGAGUAGGGCGGGACACGUGACAUCCUGUCUGAAUAUGGGGGGACCAUCCUCCAAGGCUAAAUACUCCUGACUGACCGAUAGUGAACCAGUACCGUGAGGGAAAGGCGAAAAGAACCCCGGCGAGGGGAGUGAAAUAGAACCUGAAACCGUGUACGUACAAGCAGUGGGAGCCUACUUUGUUGGGUGACUGCGUACCUUUUGUAUAAUGGGUCAGCGACUUAUAUUUUGUAGCAAGGUUAACCGUAUAGGGGAGCCGUAGGGAAACCGAGUCUUAACUGGGCGAAUAGUUGCAAGGUAUAGACCCGAAACCCGGUGAUCUAGCCAUGGGCAGGUUGAAGGUUGGGUAACACUAACUGGAGGACCGAACCGACUAAUGUUGAAAAAUUAGCGGAUGACUUGUGGCUGGGGGUGAAAGGCCAAUCAAACCGGGAGAUAGCUGGUUCUCCCCGAAAGCUAUUUAGGUAGCGCCUCGUGAACUCAUCUUCGGGGGUAGAGCACUGUUUCGGCUAGGGGGCCAUCCCGGCUUACCAAACCGAUGCAAACUCCGAAUACCGAAGAAUGUUAUCACGGGAGACACACGGCGGGUGCUAACGUCCGUCGUGAAGAGGGAAACAACCCAGACCGCCAGCUAAGGUCCCAAAGUCAUGGUUAAGUGGGAAACGAUGUGGGAAGGCAUAGACAGCCAGGAUGUUGGCUUAGAAGCAGCCAUCAUUUAAAGAAAGCGUAAUAGCUCACUGGUCGAGUCGGCCUGCGCGGAAGAUGUAACGGGGCUAAACCAUGCACCGAAGCUGCGGCAGCGACGCUUAGGCGUUGUUGGGUAGGGGAGCGUUCUGUAAGCCGUUGAAGGUGGCCUGUGAGGGUUGCUGGAGGUAUCAGAAGUGCGAAUGCUGACAUAAGUAACGAUAAAGCGGGUGAAAAACCCGCUCGCCGGAAGACCAAGGGUUCCUGUCCAACGUUAAUCGGGGCAGGGUGAGUCGACCCCUAAGGCGAGGCCGAAAGGCGUAGUCGAUGGGAAACAGGUUAAUAUUCCUGUACUCGGUGUUACUGCGAAGGGGGGACGGAGAAGGCUAGGCUAGCCGGGCGACGGUUGUCCCGGUUUAAGCGUGUAGGGGGAGUGACUUGGUAAAUCCGGUUACUUAUUCAACCCUGAGGCGUGAUGACGAUGCACUACGGUGCAGAAGUAGUUGAUGCCAAGCUUCCAGGAAAAGCCUCUAAGCAUCAGGUAACAUCAAAUCGUACCCCAAACCGACACAGGUGGUCAGGUAGAGAAUACCAAGGCGCUUGAGAGAACUCGGGUGAAGGAACUAGGCAAAAUGGUGCCGUAACUUCGGGAGAAGGCACGCUGGCGCGUAGGUGAAGAGACUUGCUCUCGGAGCUGAAGCCAGUCGCAGAUACCAGCUGGCUGCAACUGUUUAAUAAAAACACAGCACUGUGCAAACACGAAAGUGGACGUAUACGGUGUGACGCCUGCCCGGUGCCGGAAGGUUAAUUGAUGGGGUCAGCCGCAAGGCGAAGCUCUUGAUCGAAGCCCCGGUAAACGGCGGCCGUAACUAUAACGGUCCUAAGGUAGCGAAAUUCCUUGUCGGGUAAGUUCCGACCUGCACGAAUGGCGUA